This 63-nucleotide transfer RNA is filed under the name Anilios australis (Southern blind snake). RNAcentral's name for it is "transfer RNA-Tyr". The record is from RNAcentral. Lineage: Eukaryota; Metazoa; Chordata; Lepidosauria; Squamata; Typhlopidae.
GGUAGAAUGGCUGAAACAGCGGUAGAUUGUAGUCCUACACAUGGAAGAUAAAUUCCUUCUAUC